Rattus norvegicus (Norway rat) is the source of this 1812-nucleotide long non-coding RNA. RefSeq lists it as uncharacterized. Lineage: Eukaryota; Metazoa; Chordata; Mammalia; Rodentia; Muridae. The record is from RefSeq and is a predicted model, not a curated record.
UCCUUGAGUCUCCCAGUCACAGCGACCAUCUUCCCGCGCCACUCCGCUGGGAUACAAGAAAGGCCUUCCCUCUUGAGUUCCCGCAAUGGGUCCCGCAGGUGCUCGUCUCCUACGUCACCACUCGAUUGGUCAAUGGAGAGUGGAAAGAAUACCCUCUUGCCAGAUGGUAUAGAAUGACUGAUAGCUUCUGAUUGGUGAAAAAGGAGAGCCCGUAGGCGCUCUCUGGCGCAAUCUAGGAACGGUCCCCGUAAAGGGCGCAUGCGCUACUGUACUUUGGGGGGGGGGGGUCUCCGUAAAAGAGGUGACUCUCAGGGAUAAGACUACUGGACUACCCAGACGAUCUUUUGCGUGCCUGUUGUUUGCAAGCUCCCCAACUCUAGACCAAGACAGCAAUUUAAAGCAGCUAUAACCCAUUAGAACGUUUACUUCACCUUUACUCUAUCCUAAACUGGAAGUUACUCUUUUUUUUAAAAGAGAACCUCCAAAUCUGAGCACUUCUCACUAAUAAAGCACUCGGUGCCUAACAGGCACCGUCAUUUCACCCUAAAUUCAGUCACCUUGGCAGAUCUUUAUAGUUUAACUCGGUUCGCACGAGGCAGCUGAGCACCCCGCGUUCUCGAGAGUGCUUUGUGGCCUAGACUCGCUCCUUGGAGAUUGCCUUGAAGCGAUUGGUCUCCCUCCGAGGAUCCUGGAAGCCUGAAGUGAGCGAGCAGGGAACGCACUGACACUAGGGAGUCAGACUCUGCGACGUAGCUCAGCAAUGGAGCGCUUGCCUAGCACAGACACGGCACAUCUCUACCCCGGCCACACACAGACACACACAGGUCUUCAGACGGUUUAAGAUUCACAGGCCGCCCCAAAACGUGCUGUGGCCUUUCCACCAGGUCAUUCCCAAAGCGGACAUCCGCUUGGGACUAAGUUUGAAAUGUGAGUAAAAGCUCAGAGAACGGAACCCCGUGUGUUGGGAGAAGUUUUGAGCAUGGCGUGGUGGUUGCAAGCCUAUAAUUCCAGCGCUCUGGAGUCGGGCAGGACUGCCUUGAGUUCGGGGCUUUCCUGGGCUACCCAGGGAUUCUCCUAAUUAAAAAAGUUUGGAAGCGGUGGAGGCUGAUGAGGAUAUAAAUGGACCUCCACCAAUUUCACCGGACACACACACUCCAAAGCAGGAACUCCCAAGAUGGGGUACGCCGCCGCGGCGCAGCAGGUUAUAGCCAAGGAAAGAAGUAAUGAAAGCAGGCCAGGAAACUGGAACACUUUGCCUUAAAGGCUACCUGGAGGGCCAUGGAUUCCCGUCGAAUGCUGGGACCACAGUGGGACAGAAAGGGUUAUGAAAUGAGCCUCCUUGCUGUUGGCCUGCUAAAUUGGCUAAUCCUCCCUAGUGGUACAAGGACAAAGCCAGCUCAGCUACUGAAGCCGCUUCUUGAUGUAGUCUAACCUUGAAACCUGGCCUCCUAGCCAGAACUUCAGGGUGCCAUCAGCACACCUCACUUCUCCGCUCUUGAAGUAGUCUCAGUUCUCGGAGAACUGAGUAUGAGGCCAUCCUCCAAUUGUAAUGCAUCGAGGACCAGCCUGAGCACAUGAGAUCCUGUCUUCUCAAGAAACAAGAACAAGGGCUGGAGGGAUGGCUCAGAGGUCAAGAACACUGACUGCUCUUCCCGAGGUCCUGAGUUCAAAUCCCAGCAACCACAUGGUGGCUUACAACCAUCUGUAAUGAGAUCUGAUGCCCUCUUCUGCUGUGUCUGAAGACAGUGAAAGUGUGCGCUUAUAUAGAAUAAAUAAAUCUUUUUAAAAAAGAAACACAAACAAACAAACAAA